Molecule: transfer RNA, 77 nt
Filed under: Holosporales bacterium
Lineage: Bacteria; Pseudomonadati; Pseudomonadota; Alphaproteobacteria; Holosporales
Description: tRNA-His
Rfam family: tRNA
About the family: Transfer RNA (tRNA) molecules are approximately 80 nucleotides in length. Their secondary structure includes four short double-helical elements and three loops (D, anti-codon, and T loops).
Source: RNAcentral
GCGGGUGUAGCUCAGUUGGUUAGAGCGCCAGAUUGUGGCUCUGGAGGUCGCCAGUUCGAGACUGGUCAUUCGCCCCA